AUUGAACGCUGGCGGCAGGCCUAACAAAUGCAAGUCGAACGAGUGGCGGACGGGUGAGUAAUGUCUGGGAAACUGCCUGAUGGAGGGGGAUAACUACUGGAAACGGUAGCUAAUACCGCAUACCAUCAGAUGUGCCCAGAUGGGAUUAGCUAGUUGGUGGGGUAACGGCUCACCAAGGCGACGAUCCCUAGCUGGUCUGAGAGGAUGACCAGCCACACGGGAACUGAGACACGUUCCAGACUCCGACGGGAGGCGGCUGGGGGGAAUAUUGCACAAGUGGCGCAAGCCUGAUGCAGCCAUGCCGCGUGUAUGAAGUAGGUCUUCGGGUUGUAAAGCACUUUCAGCGGUGAGGCGUUACCCGCCGAAGAAGCACCGGCUAACUCCGUGCCAGCAGCCGCGGUAAUAC
This 406-nucleotide ribosomal RNA is filed under the name uncultured bacterium. RNAcentral describes it as "partial 16S ribosomal RNA". It matches the Rfam family "Bacterial small subunit ribosomal RNA", at positions 30 to 526 of the family's 1533-position model. The record is from RNAcentral.